GAUGAACGCUAGCGGCAGGCUUAACACAUGCAAGUCGAGGGGCAGCAUGACACGGAGAUUCGUCGAAGUGUUGAUGGCGACCGGCGCAAGGGUGCGUAACGCGUGAGCAACUUGCCCGUUUCUGGGGAAUAACCGGUGGAAACGCCGACUAAUACCCCAUAGUAUAACGAAGAGGCAUCUUUUUGUUAUUAAAGAACUUCGGAAACGGAUAGGCUCGCGUGACAUUAGCUAGAUGGCGGGGUAACGGCCCACCAUGGCGACGAUGUCUAGGGGUUCUGAGAGGAAGGUCCCCCACAUUGGAACUGAGACACGGUCCAAACUCCUACGGGAGGCAGCAGUGAGGAAUAUUGGUCAAUGGACGCAAGUCUGAACCAGCCAAGUAGCGUGCAGGAUGACGGCCCUAUGGGUUGUAAACUGCUUUAUGUGGGAAUAAAGUCAGGGACGUGUCCCUGUUUGCAUGUACCACAGGAAUAAGGACCGGCUAAUUCCGUG
This 492-nucleotide ribosomal RNA is filed under the name uncultured bacterium. Its description in RNAcentral is "bacterial SSU rRNA". It matches the Rfam family "Bacterial small subunit ribosomal RNA", at positions 28 to 507 of the family's 1533-position model. The record is from RNAcentral.